AAAGAAAGUAAGCAAGGGCGCAUGGCGGAUGCCUUGGCUCUCGGAGGCGAUGAAGGACGUGAUAAGCUGCGAUAAGCUUCGGGCAGGUGCAAAUAACCUUUGAUCCGAAGAUUUCCGAAUGGGACAACCCGUCAUUCUGAAGGAAUGACAUCUUGCAUAGCAAGAGGCUAACGCAGGGAACUGAAACAUCUUAGUACCUGUAGGAAAAGAAAAUAAUAAUGAUUCCCCUAGUAGUGGCGAGCGAACGGGGAUUAGCCCAAACCAAUGUUGUUACGGCAAUAUUGGGGUUGUAGGACCACGAUGUCGCAAGAAGUUUAGUGAGAAGAACCCUUUGGAAAAUGGGACCAUAGACGGUGAUAGUCCGGUAUUCGAAGCUAAAUGAAGCGUAGUGGUAUCCUGAGUAGCGCGGGACACGAGGAAUCUUGCGUGAAUCUGCCGGGACCAUCCGGUAAGGCUAAAUACUCCCGAGAGACCGAUAGCGAACCAGUACUGUGAAGGAAAGGUGAAAAGCACUUCGAAUAGAAGAGUGAAAUAGUCCCUGAAACCGUGCGCCUACAAGCGGUCGGAGCUGCUUCAGCAGUGACGGCGUGCCUUUUGCAUAAUGAACCUACGAGUUACUUUUUCCGGCAAGGUUAAGGAUCUUGAGAUCCGCAGCCGAAGCGAAAGCGAGUCUUAAUAGGGCGAUUAGUCGGAAGGAGUAGACGCGAAACCAAGUGAUCUACCCUUGGUCAGGUUGAAGGUUAGGUAACACUAACUGGAGGACCGAACCGAUAAGCGUUGAAAAGCUUCCGGAUGAACUGAGGGUGGGGGUGAAAGGCUAAUCAAACUUGGAGAUAGCUCGUACUCCCCGAAAUGCAUUUAGGUGCAGCCUUGGGAAUUACUACUGUGAGGUAGAGCGACUGAUAAGAUGCGAGGGCUUCACCGCCUAUCAAGUCUUGAUAAACUCCGAAUGCGCAGUAGUUCGAUCCCAGGAGUGAGGGCAUGGGUGCUAAGGUCCAUGUCCUAAAGGAGAAGAAUCCAGACCAUCAGCUAAGGUCCCGAAAUAAUUGCUAAGUUGAACUAACGAAGUCAGAUUGCUAAGACAGCUAGGAUGUUGGCUUGGAAGCAGCCAUUCAUUUAAAGAGUGCGUAACAGCUCACUAGUCGAGGAGUUUGGCGUGGAUAAUAAUCGGGCAUUAAGCAAUUUACCGAAGCUAUGGGAUGUUAACUAAACACUAACAUCGGUAGGGGAGCAUUCCACUCUGCGUCGAAGGUGAAGCGUGAGCUUUGCUGGAGCGUGUGGAAAAGCAAAUGUAGGUAUAAGUAACGAUAAAGGGGGUGAGAAACCCCCUCGCCGAAAGACUAAGGUUUCCUGAUCAACGCUAAUCGGAUCAGGGUUAGUCGGGUCCUAAGGCUCAGCCGAACGGUGAGGCCGAUGGCAGAACAGGUUAAUAUUCCUGUACUACCUUAAGGAGUGACGUGGAGACGGAGGAGUGACAACGCCGCGGACUGACGGAAUAGUCCGUUGAAGGGUGUAGAUGUUGAUUAUCCCAGGCAAAUCCGGGAUAAGAGUCGAACCUGAUAGUAUACCAAAUUCUUCGGAAUAAGGUAAUAGUGCGUGUAAGCAUACUCCCAAGAAAAUCCGCUAAACUUAAUCUUUAAGGUACCCGUACCGCAAACGGACACACGUAGUCGGGUUGAAUAUACUAAGGCGCUUGAGUGAUUCACGGUUAAGGAACUAGGCAAAUUGACCCUGUAACUUCGGGAUAAAGGGUCCCAACGAGAGUUGGGCGCAGAGAAUAGGUCCAGGCAACUGUUUAACAAAAANGAACUGAGGGUGGGGGUGAAAGGCUAAUCAAACUUGGAGAUAGCUCGUACUCCCCGAAAUGCAUUUAGGUGCAGCCUUGGGAAUUACUACUGUGAGGUAGAGCGACUGAUAAGAUGCGAGGGCUUCACCGCCUAUCAAGUCUUGAUAAACUCCGAAUGCGCAGUAGUUCGAUCCCAGGAGUGAGGGCAUGGGUGCUAAGGUCCAUGUCCUAAAGGAGAAGAAUCCAGACCAUCAGCUAAGGUCCCGAAAUAAUUGCUAAGUUGAACUAACGAAGUCAGAUUGCUAAGACAGCUAGGAUGUUGGCUUGGAAGCAGCCAUUCAUUUAAAGAGUGCGUAACAGCUCACUAGUCGAGGAGUUUGGCGUGGAUAAUAAUCGGGCAUUAAGCAAUUUACCGAAGCUAUGGGAUGUUAACUAAACACUAACAUCGGUAGGGGAGCAUUCCACUCUGCGUCGAAGGUGAAGCGUGAGCUUUGCUGGAGCGUGUGGAAAAGCAAAUGUAGGUAUAAGUAACGAUAAAGGGGGUGAGAAACCCCCUCGCCGAAAGACUAAGGUUUCCUGAUCAACGCUAAUCGGAUCAGGGUUAGUCGGGUCCUAAGGCUCAGCCGAACGGUGAGGCCGAUGGCAGAACAGGUUAAUAUUCCUGUACUACCUUAAGGAGUGACGUGGAGACGGAGGAGUGACAACGCCGCGGACUGACGGAAUAGUCCGUUGAAGGGUGUAGAUGUUGAUUAUCCCAGGCAAAUCCGGGAUAAGAGUCGAACCUGAUAGUAUACCAAAUUCUUCGGAAUAAGGUAAUAGUGCGUGUAAGCAUACUCCCAAGAAAAUCCGCUAAACUUAAUCUUUAAGGUACCCGUACCGCAAACGGACACACGUAGUCGGGUUGAAUAUACUAAGGCGCUUGAGUNGGUUAAGGAUCUUGAGAUCCGCAGCCGAAGCGAAAGCGAGUCUUAAUAGGGCGAUUAGUCGGAAGGAGUAGACGCGAAACCAAGUGAUCUACCCUUGGUCAGGUUGAAGGUUAGGUAACACUAACUGGAGGACCGAACCGAUAAGCGUUGAAAAGCUUCCGGAUGAACUGAGGGUGGGGGUGAAAGGCUAAUCAAACUUGGAGAUAGCUCGUACUCCCCGAAAUGCAUUUAGGUGCAGCCUUGGGAAUUACUACUGUGAGGUAGAGCGACUGAUAAGAUGCGAGGGCUUCACCGCCUAUCAAGUCUUGAUAAACUCCGAAUGCGCAGUAGUUCGAUCCCAGGAGUGAGGGCAUGGGUGCUAAGGUCCAUGUCCUAAAGGAGAAGAAUCCAGACCAUCAGCUAAGGUCCCGAAAUAAUUGCUAAGUUGAACUAACGAAGUCAGAUUGCUAAGACAGCUAGGAUGUUGGCUUGGAAGCAGCCAUUCAUUUAAAGAGUGCGUAACAGCUCACUAGUCGAGGAGUUUGGCGUGGAUAAUAAUCGGGCAUUAAGCAAUUUACCGAAGCUAUGGGAUGUUAACUAAACACUAACAUCGGUAGGGGAGCAUUCCACUCUGCGUCGAAGGUGAAGCGUGAGCUUUGCUGGAGCGUGUGGAAAAGCAAAUGUAGGUAUAAGUAACGAUAAAGGGGGUGAGAAACCCCCUCGCCGAAAGACUAAGGUUUCCUGAUCAACGCUAAUCGGAUCAGGGUUAGUCGGGUCCUAAGGCUCAGCCGAACGGUGAGGCCGAUGGCAGAACAGGUUAAUAUUCCUGUACUACCUUAAGGAGUGACGUGGAGACGGAGGAGUGACAACGCCGCGGACUGACGGAAUAGUCCGUUGAAGGGUGUAGAUGUUGAUUAUCCCAGGCAAAUCCGGGAUAAGAGUCGAACCUGAUAGUAUACCAAAUUCUUCGGAAUAAGGUAAUAGUGCGUGUAAGCAUACUCCCAAGAAAAUCCGCUAAACUUAAUCUUUAAGGUACCCGUACCGCAAACGGACACACGUAGUCGGGUUGAAUAUACUAAGGCGCUUGAGUGAUUCACGGUUAAGGAACUAGGCAAAUUGACCCUGUAACUUCGGGAUAAAGGGUCCCAACGAGAGUUGGGCGCAGAGAAUAGGUCCAGGCAACUGUUUAACAAAAACACAGGGCUGUGCUAAAUUGAAAGAUUACGUAUACAGCCUGACACCUGCCCGGUGCUGGAAGGUUAAGAGGAGAUGUCAUCGCAAGAGAAGCAUUGAAUUGAAGCCCCAGUAAACGGCGGCCGUAACUAUAACGGUCCUAAGGUAGCGAAAUUCCUUGUCGGGUAAGUUCCGACCUGCACGAAUGGUGUAAUGAUCUGGACACUGUCUCAACCGUGAGCUCAGUGAAAUUGUAGUAUCGGUGAAGAUGCCGAUUACCCGCGAUGGGACGAAAAGACCCCGUGAACCUUUACUAUAGCUUAACAUUGAAUUUGGGUAAUUGAUGUGUAGGAUAGGCCGGAGACUUUGAAGCAGGUACGCCAGUAUUUGUGGAGUCGCUGUUGAAAUACGGCCCUUUGAUUAUUUGAGUUCUAACUCGUAGAUACGAGGACACUGUUUGGUGGGUAGUUUGACUGGGGUGGUCGCCUCCAAAAGUGUAACGGAGGCUUCUAAAGGUGCCCUCAGGACGAUUGGUAACCGUCCGUAGAGUGUAAUGGCAUAAGGGCGCUUGACUGGGAGACAGACAAGUCGAUCAGGUAGGAAACUAGAGCAUAGUGAUCCGGUGUUUCCGUAUGGAAGGGACAUCGCUCAAAGGAUAAAAGGUACUCCGGGGAUAACAGGCUGAUCCCUCCCAAGAGCUCAUAUCGACGGAGGGGUUUGGCACCUCGAUGUCGGCUCGUCACAUCCUGGGGCUGGAGAAGGUCCCAAGGGUUGGGCUGUUCGCCCAUUAAAGUGGCACGCGAGCUGGGUUCAGAACGUCGUGAGACAGUUCGGUCUCUAUCUAUCGUGGGCGUAUGAAAUUUGCGUGGCUCUGACACUAGUACGAGAGGACCGUGUUGGACUGACCGCUGGUUUACCAGUUGUGCCGCCAGGUGCAUUGCUGGGUAUCUAAGUCGGGAUUGGAUAAGUGCUGAAAGCAUCUAAGUACGAAGCCAGCCACAAGAUUAGAUUUCUUAGGGUCGUCAAAGACGAUGACGUUGAUAGGAUGCAGGUGUAAAGGUGGUAACAUCAAAGCCGAGCAUUACUAAUUGCCCGUUCACUUUCUUU
Molecule: ribosomal RNA, 4971 nt
Filed under: Bacteroides ovatus
Lineage: Bacteria; Pseudomonadati; Bacteroidota; Bacteroidia; Bacteroidales; Bacteroidaceae
Description: 23S ribosomal RNA
Rfam family: Bacterial large subunit ribosomal RNA (bases 2626-4971)
Source: RNAcentral